GUAAAUAUAGCUUAAUCAAAGCAUUAGAUUGUGAAUCUAAAGAUAGAGAUUAGUAUUCUCUUAUCUACC
RNAcentral lists this transfer RNA (69 nucleotides) under Sundasciurus jentinki (Jentink's squirrel). RNAcentral's name for it is "tRNA-His". It matches the Rfam family "tRNA". From Rfam's summary of the family: Transfer RNA (tRNA) molecules are approximately 80 nucleotides in length. The record is from RNAcentral. Lineage: Eukaryota; Metazoa; Chordata; Mammalia; Rodentia; Sciuridae. RNAcentral also lists the same sequence under 1 other name.